UCUGAACCAAGCCAUGCCGCGUGCAGGAAAGACAGCCUCUGGGUCGUAAACUGCUUUUAUUCGGGAAUAAACCUACUUACGUGUAAGUAGCUGAAUGUACCGAAGGAAUAAGGAUCGGCUAACUCCGUGCCAGCAGCCGCGGUAAUACGGAGGAUCCAAGCGUUAUCCGGAUUUAUUGGGUUUAAAGGGUGCGUAGGCGGCUUAUUAAGUCAGGGGUGAAAGACGGUGGCUCAACCAUCGCAGUGCCCUUGAUACUGAUGAGCUUGAAUACACUAGAGGUAGGCGGAAUGUGACAAGUAGCGGUGAAAUGCAUAGAUAUGUCACAGAACACCGAUUGCGAAGGCAGCUUACUAUGGUGUCAUUGACGCUGAGGCACGAAAGCGUGGGGAUCAAACAGGAUUAGAUACCCUGGUAGUCCACGCCCUAAACGAUGAAUACUCGCUGUUAGCGAUACACAGUUAGCGGCUAAGCGAAAGCGUUAAGUAUUCCACCUGGGGAGUACGCCCGCAAGGGUGAAACUC
This 521-nucleotide ribosomal RNA is filed under the name uncultured Pedobacter sp. RNAcentral's name for it is "bacterial SSU rRNA". It matches the Rfam family "Bacterial small subunit ribosomal RNA", at positions 381 to 902 of the family's 1533-position model. The record is from RNAcentral. Lineage: Bacteria; Pseudomonadati; Bacteroidota; Sphingobacteriia; Sphingobacteriales; Sphingobacteriaceae.